GGCCACACCCGAGAUGAAAAAAAAGAGCGAACUCCCUCGUCCAAUUCUAAUCAGGGGCGAGUAAUAAUCGGAAAAAAAAUAAAAAAAACCAGGGGCGGAGUGGACGAGGGGUGCGAGCUCCGAGCGGCGGUUGGGCUCCGGCGUCGUGAUGCUCCACGGCGUUGGGAGCGGCACGUGGGAUCGACGUCUCUAGAGGGUGGUCUUAGUUUCGGGCAACGCGGCGGGCCGAGCCGUCGUGUUGCGACGUCGGUAGUGCUUGGCGUCAGGGCUGCAUCUCCCGUGUGGACGGCCCCUCGUCGGCACAGUCGCCGGCGACGAACACUCGGCCGAAGACGGGGCCGCGCCAUGAACCAGGGUUUAGCGGCGUCCUCGGCUGGACGACAAGCUGGUCGUGGGUGGGCGGCGCGGCGAGUCGUGUCUACUUCUUGAAGAGGGUACAGUGGUGGUUGGCAUUCUACAUGAUGCGGGCGGUAUCUCCUCCUACGACAACGGUCGGCAACUAGCUGUUUGCAGCCCUCCGUCAUUUUACAUGAGUAUGUCUUGAUUUACUCUCCCAUGCGAAAUAUUUGCUUGAAUUAAGUUAGAUCAGUAAGAAAACUAGGUAGCAGAAUUAGGAUGGAUUACGUCCCCAAAUAUAUUUCUUUUGGGCAUAGCUAUCAUACAAGCUUACAUCAGAUUGGCAGCUGUUCAUUUCUACAAAAUUCUGGUGUAGUGUUGUGAUUUCCCAGAUGAGUGUUGUGUUAUGUGAAAAUUAUCAUUAAACAUAUGUGAAUAGGAGAAAAAAAUGUAAAAUAGCACAAAACAGAUACAUCCAGCAAGGUAUUUUCUAUGGAAUGGUUUCAAUGCUCAAUGUUAUGAAAAACACAUCCGCAUGCACAUUACAUAUGGAGCACGAUGCGCCGCCUAGAACUAGUCAGAUAUUUUACUUUGCACGAAAUUUGGUGAUCUUAACCACAGAAAAUAAAAAAAUACCUCAAAUGUAUUUUCAUUACUAUCAAAUUUAAUGUGAUUUGAUUGUUAUUAUCGGGGAGGUGAUACGUUCUAUUUUGCAAGCGUUCAUAGGACCAAAGCCAGAGUUUACAGCAGUUAUGGGAGAAAACAAAGAAGGGUGGGGAUUAGGACCCAGCGGCCACAGACGAAAUCUGAACCCAAAGUACCAAACCACGUUUCGUUUUGUUUUUUAGGCCCCUAUGCUUCUAGAACUAUUAUCCAAUUUGAUGGCUGCUACUUGGUGCGUGUGCUGGGUGUCCAUGAGGUACUUCUCGGCAGCAGCAUUGCCUCUCAAUUUGCCAACAAGAUCCAUUCAGAUUGUUUAAUCACUGACUCUAGGAUCCAUGCCUACUCUAGGUAGAACUUCAGUAAGCUGCAGAAAUAAACAAUAGAAAGGGUAAAGAACCACUAAGCAUGCCAUUUACCUGAUAUGGCCCAGAUUGUUUUAUUUGAACACCAUAUGGUCCAAAUUGUAACCAAGUAAAACUGCAUGCUCGUCAAAUUUUGUAUGAUGAAACCAUAAUAUUAGCACUCUGAAUGCACGUUUUGAUUGACUACUACCCUGGAUGUCAUCCAUGUUAUUAGCUAUGUUUUGUUACAGGGGAUUUUGGGUACUGCCUGGAUGUGUUGCUUGAGCAGAAGACUUCCAUGUUUUUGUUCAUAGACCGUGUCAUUCUUAUUUUUCUUGUACUUAUCAUGUACUCCCUCCGUCCCAUAAUAUAAGAACGUUUUUGACACUAGUGUAGUGUCAACAACGUUCUUAUAUUAUGGGACAGAGGGAGUAGAUGUCAUGGUUUAUGGAAGAGUGUUCGGUUCAGCCAUAUACCAUAUACAUGUUGCCUAACAAGUUUGUUUUCUCAAUACAGAAGCUGUACAAUUAUAUGAAACUGAAAAUAUUUAGUUUUCUGGCCAUAACUCUGAAUUUUUAGUGACUUGUUGCUUCAUUAUGUGGUCAAUUUUUGGUUGCUACUAGCUUGCUGUAAUAUAGACUGUUGACUUGGACGAUAUAAUUUAUCAUGUUCCUUAAAAAAAAUUAUGUACAAUUUCUUCUCAUGGAUGUUAAUUAUCAUGUCAAGCUUUAAGCUCACACUCUUGGAGAUUUUUUGUUUACGAGGAGAAAUCAGAGGUUUGAGGUUCCUUUUGUUACUGUAUAGUUCUCUCAUUUUGAUCAUUAACAUAAUUCAAUUAGUUUUUGUUCUCAUCGGUCUACGACAUCAGUCGGAUUCAGAAAUUACGCUGGGUAAAACCUAUGUGUUUUGUAGUCUUUUUUUACGUUCCUUUUUGUCGUAAAAUUACAUCAAUAGCAUCUGGUUUCUUACAGCGAUUACCCUGGUUUAGUUCCUCACACAUCCACAACGUAACUUGCCUUGCAUGCACAUCGUAAGAUUACCUCAGAAGCCCUUUCUUACGGUGGUUCAGAGCGUGUGCUCGUGGGUGUGGCAUGUGGUUCGUCUGUGAGUUUCGUUUUCACAGCUUCCUAUCAGAUGGGCCAGAAAAUUUGCUAUGGGCCACGAGCCGCUGCCUACCCGGCUCCAGCCGAAUGCGCGCCGGCCGCUCUGGCAUGGCGGCGGGUUCAGCCUCGGCGUGGACCUAAAUGCUUCAUUUUUACAAAAAAAAAAUAUAUGUUUGUUUGAAAUACAGUCUGCAGUCCUCUAAUUCAUCUUAUCCAAACUUCUACCUUUCCAGCAACGCCGGAGGCAGUUGACGGGCGGCGCCCCUGUCGUCGGACGGCUACAACGGUGAUGGAGGAGAAGGUGGACGUCGUGGGUGCGUGCUUGGGUAAGGGAGGCCACCCUUGCUGUGCUCGUGGGCGUUCAUGGAGGAUGGAAGGGGGGACAACUUCCUGUGGAUGCGCAGGCUAUGCUCGUGGGUGUUCAUGGAGGAUGGAAGGUGGGACAGCAUUCUGUGGGUACGCCGACCGUUCGCCGCCAGCGCCGGCCGGCCUCCCCCGCCAGUCCUCUCCAGACUCCUUUGUCGUAUCCGUCUCAACCUCCAA
Molecule: non-coding RNA, 2986 nt
Organism: Triticum urartu
Lineage: Eukaryota; Viridiplantae; Streptophyta; Magnoliopsida; Poales; Poaceae
Source: RefSeq, a predicted model, not a curated record